Molecule: unclassified non-coding RNA, 243 nt
Filed under: Chytridiomycota sp.
Lineage: Eukaryota; Fungi; Chytridiomycota
Description: partial contains small subunit ribosomal RNA, internal transcribed spacer 1, and 5.8S ribosomal RNA
Rfam family: Eukaryotic small subunit ribosomal RNA (bases 1-47)
Source: RNAcentral
AAAGUCGUAACAAGGUAACCGUAGGUGAACCUGCGGUUGGAUCAUUACUGAUUUAACUUGGCCUGAGGUGAGCUCUAACGAGAUCCCUCAGUGUCAUCAACACUUUGUGCACUCUGUUGUAUUUGGGUUGAUUUUGAGGUGGAAGCUUCAAGUCAGCCCAACAAUGAAAACAAACCUUUAUUCUUUUGACUGAAAUCUCUAUGUAAAUAGAAACAACUUUUGACAACGGAUCUCUUGGCUCUC